CAGCACCUCAAGUGGUCAGGAUGAUUAUUGGGCCUAAAGCAUCCGUAGCCGGCGCUGUAAGUUUUCGGUUAAAUCUGUACGCUCAACGUACAGGCUGCCGGGAAUACUGCAGCGCUAGGGAGUGGGAGAGGUAGACGGUACUCGGUAGGAAGGGGUAAAAUCCUUUGAUCUAUUGAUGACCACCUGUGGCGAAGGCGGUCUACCAGAGCACGUCCGACGGUGAGGGAUGAAAGCUGGGGGAGCAAACCGGAUUAGAGACCCGAGUAGUCC
This 270-nucleotide ribosomal RNA is filed under the name uncultured archaeon. RNAcentral's name for it is "partial 16S ribosomal RNA". It matches the Rfam family "Archaeal small subunit ribosomal RNA", at positions 477 to 747 of the family's 1478-position model. The record is from RNAcentral.